GUUCAUCUGUAAUCUUGGCCGAAAAGACUUCACAGGUAUAUAUUGUGAGAACUGAGAACAGGCUUCGUGCUUCCCCUUCUGCUAAAAAUGUGCAAGCAGAACAGCUCAAGCUUUUGUUUUACAACUUCACAAAUAAAUUUUUCUUUUCACCACACACACACAAAUUCUCUGGAUUUUUUUUCUUAACUCACUAGUUCACACUCAAUUUGCAGAAUAUGUAUUUUUCCUUCUCGUUGUCUUCAUUGCUUUUCACAACUUGUGCGGUGUGAUUUAUAAGAGACUAUAAUCAAGCAUGGGUUGAAAAUCGGAGAUAG
This 314-nucleotide unclassified non-coding RNA is filed under the name Hevea brasiliensis (rubber tree). Lineage: Eukaryota; Viridiplantae; Streptophyta; Magnoliopsida; Malpighiales; Euphorbiaceae. The record is from RNAcentral.